Molecule: long non-coding RNA, 103 nt
Organism: Gavialis gangeticus (Gharial)
Lineage: Eukaryota; Metazoa; Chordata; Crocodylia; Gavialidae
Exons: 3
Source: RefSeq, a predicted model, not a curated record
GCAAGGCCACCUGAUGGAUGGCCUUCUAUUGCUCCACCAGUCUUUCCAGCAUCAGGUAUGUGGAGUUCCACUGCAUCUCUACAUCCUGCAUGAUUUUGUGCUG